Molecule: ribosomal RNA, 491 nt
Filed under: uncultured bacterium
Lineage: Bacteria
Description: partial 16S ribosomal RNA
Rfam family: Bacterial small subunit ribosomal RNA
Source: RNAcentral
GAUGAACGCUAGCGAUAGGCUUAACACAUGCCAGUCGAGGGGUAACGUGUUGGAAGCUUGCUUCCGAUGACGACGACCGGCGGAUGGGGGCGUAACGCGUAUGCAACUUGCCUCACAGUGGAGAAUAACCCGGAGAAAUCCGGACUAAUGUUCCAUACACCCUUAAGUAUUCCUGUACAUGAGAGGAAAGAUUUAUCGCUGUGAGCUAGGCAUGCGUCCUAUUAGGUAGGUGGUGAGGUAACGGCUCACCAAGCCGACGGUAGGUAGGGGUGCUGCGAGGCAGAUCCCCCACAUUGGGACUGAGACACGGCCCAAACUCCUACGGGAGGCAGCAGGUAGGAAUAUUGGUAAAUGGAGGAAACUCUGAACCAGCCAAGUCGCGUGAAGGAAGAAUGUCCUAAGGAUUGUAAACUUCUUUAGCGAGCGAGUAAGGACUUCCACGUGAUGGGAGUUUGAAAGUAGCUCGAGAAUAAGUAUCGGCUAACUCCGUG